GACGAACGCUGGCGGCGUGCUUAACACAUGCAAGUCGAACGGAAAGGCCCUGCUUUUGUGGGGUGCUCGAGUGGCGAACGGGUGAGUAACGCGUGAGUAACCUGCCCUGGACUUUGGGAUAACUUCAGGAAACUGGGGCUAAUACCGGAUAGGAGCUCCUGCUGCAUGGUGGGGGUUGGAAAGUUUCGGCGGUUGGGGAGGGACUCGCGGCUUAUCAGCUUGUUGGUGGGGUAGUGGCUUACCAAGGCUUUGACGGGUAGCCGGCCUGAGAGGGUGACCGGCCACAUUGGGACUGAGAUACGGCCCAGACUCCUACGGGAGGGAGCAGUGGGGAAUAUUGCACAAUGGGCGGAAGCCUGAUGCAGCAACGCCGCGUGCGGGAUGACGGCCUUCGGGUUGUAAACCGCUUUCGCCUGUGACGAAGCGUGAGUGACGGUAAUGGGUAAAGAAGCACCGGCUAACUACGUG
This 468-nucleotide ribosomal RNA is filed under the name uncultured bacterium. RNAcentral's name for it is "partial 16S ribosomal RNA". It matches the Rfam family "Bacterial small subunit ribosomal RNA", at positions 28 to 507 of the family's 1533-position model. The record is from RNAcentral.